This 1461-nucleotide long non-coding RNA is filed under the name Homo sapiens (human). RNAcentral describes it as "HSALNT0396154". The record is from RNAcentral. Lineage: Eukaryota; Metazoa; Chordata; Mammalia; Primates; Hominidae.
CUACCUUGGCCUCCCAAAGUGCUGGGAUUAUAGGGUGAGCCAUCGCGCCCGGCCCCUUUUGAUUUCUUUACAGAAUAUUGCUGUAGUAUAACUUUUUUCCAUGCACUUAAUUUUUGUUCCCUUGUUGGCAUAUUUCAUUUUCUUCCCUGAAAAUGGGUAGACUGAGAUAAGGUAUGAGGAAGCCUUGGCCAUGCCACCAGCCGCUUAUCCCAAAUUCCUGAUCCCUGGAAGACAUCUGGGCUCUCCCUCCUGUUCCAGCCCAGUAGCUUCCAGCAAAGGUACUGGCUCAAUUGGACACGGAGUGUGGAACUGCCUGCUCACACUUGUGAACCCCCGUCCAGAAGGAAGAAACAGAAAGGGCCCAGUGAGUAUAGGAAGAUGCCAGGGCCCACUGUGGAAAGCCUGGAGCCAAGUUUUUCUUAAAUGCAAAUGUCCCCAGUGUGGGGUCACGUCCAAGCUCCAGAAGGAAGCCUGGCCUGGGCGGGGGGGUGGGAGGGCUGUUGCUAGAACCUGUCAAUCCUGCUCCACACUUCCGAGUUUUCCGUGGCUUCUCCUGAAACCCGGGCCUAGGGGGUGGGGCUUGAUUCCUAUCCUAGGGGUACUGGGCGGGGUCGUGUAAAUUAUCCAAUCAGGCGCUCCGCCAGGAGGGUGGGGCCAAGCUCCGCAAGUCUAAGGGGCUCCUGUUCCCCUAACCCACUGAAUUCAGCCUUCCAGAGGCCGAGGUGGCUCCACCACAGCUUCUGUCCGGUGGUGACCAGCACUGAUCUCCGGAGCCAAGGGAGGACCCGGGACACCUGGGAGCCGGGAAAUGCUGCAGCCCAAGAGGCCAACUGGAACGUUAACAUCAGACACUAAUCCAGCUGACUGAGAUUUUUUAAACUGACAGGAUCAUGGCCAUUUCACAGACAACUACCCAAAAAUAUCUACAGACGGCACUGCUCCUACCAACCCGAUACCAGAGAACUCUCUGUCCCCUCGUCAGCAGGAAGUAGCCAGAAAGAACAUGCCGCCCCUCGUCCUUUUUAUAACUAUGAGGUCUGGAUUGACAGAGCAGAAGCAUCACCAUUGUGGAUAAGCGCCUCAUUUUAAAAUUCACCUUAAUCAAAAACUGCCUAAAUCCAAAGGGCAUCAGCCUAAUGGCUAAGGUCAGCAUGAUCACAAACCACAAAUAACAUCUCCAACCAAAAACAUUCCAGACACCUCCCACAGAGAAAUGCUAGCCUCGGGAUAACCCCUCUCCUGCCGGAAAGAUGUCACCCCCAAGAUAACCACCCCUCCGCCCAGAACAUUCCAACCCUGCCACAAACUUCUCCCCCACACAGAAACAUUCCAAGCUUGUAAUAAGCUCCCUCACCCUAAAACCAACGUACAUUCUUAGUCUGCAAGGAAAAGUGCUCCUGACUGACCAGCCAGAAUCCUCUCUCAGGUCUUUUCUAUAAUAAACCUGUCUUUGACUGUCAA